Molecule: ribosomal RNA, 491 nt
Filed under: uncultured bacterium
Lineage: Bacteria
Description: partial 16S ribosomal RNA
Rfam family: Bacterial small subunit ribosomal RNA
Source: RNAcentral
AGUGAACGCUGGCGGUAGGCCUAACACAUGCGAGUCGAACGGCAGCACAGUAAGAGCUUGCUCUUACGGGUGGCGAGUGGCGGACGGGUGAGGAAUACAUCGGAAUCUACUUUUUCGUGGGGGAUAACGUAGGGAAACUUACGCUAAUACCGCAUACGACCUACGGGUGAAAGCAGGGGAUCUUCGGACCUUGCGCGAUUGAAUGAGCCGAUGUCGGAUUAGCUAGUUGGCGGGGUAAAGGCCCACCAAGGCGACGAUCCGUAGCUGGUCUGAGAGGAUGAUCAGCCACACUGGAACUGAGACACGGUCCAGACUCCUACGGGAGGCAGCAGUGGGGAAUAUUGGACAAUGGGCGCAAGCCUGAUCCAGCCAUACCGCGUGGGUGAAGAAGGCCUUCGGGUUGUAAAGCCCUUUUGUUGGGAAAGAAAAGCAGCAGGUUAAUACCCCGCUGCUCUGACGGUACCCAAAGAAUAAGCACCGGCUAACUUCGU